RNAcentral lists this ribosomal RNA (440 nucleotides) under uncultured bacterium. RNAcentral's name for it is "partial 16S ribosomal RNA". It matches the Rfam family "Bacterial small subunit ribosomal RNA", at positions 338 to 795 of the family's 1533-position model. The record is from RNAcentral.
CCUACGGGAGGCAGCAGUGGGGAAUAUUGCACAAUGGGGGAAACCCUGAUGCAGCGACGCCGCGUGAGUGAAGAAGUAUUUCGGUAUGUAAAGCUCUAUCAGCAGGGAAGAAAAUGACGGUACCUGCAAAGGAAGCACCGGCUAACUCCGUGCCAACAUCCGCUGUAAUACGGCGGGUGCGCGCGUUAAUCGGAAUUACUGGGCGUAAAGCGCUCGUCAGCGGUAUUUCAAGUCAAGGGUGAAAUCCCCGCGGUCAACGUGGGAACUGCCUUUGAAACUGGCAAACUGGAGUGUGUGGGAGGAUAGUGGAAUUCCAGGUGUAGGAGUGAAAUCCGUAGAUAUCUGGAGGAACAGCAGUGGCGAAGGCGACUAUCUGGCACAUAACUGACGCUGAGGAGCGAAAGCGUGGGUAGCAAACAGGAUUAGAUACCCGAGUAGUC